RNAcentral lists this ribosomal RNA (480 nucleotides) under uncultured soil bacterium. Its description in RNAcentral is "bacterial SSU rRNA". It matches the Rfam family "Bacterial small subunit ribosomal RNA", at positions 26 to 518 of the family's 1533-position model. The record is from RNAcentral.
AGGACGAACGCUGGCGGCGUGCCUAACACAUGCAAGUCGAACGAGGUCCAUGCAGUGGCAACACUGCGGAAGACCUAGUGGCGAACGGGUGAGUAACACGUGAGGAACUUGCCCCGGAGACCGGGAUAACCCUCCGAAAGGAGAGCUAAUACCGGAUGUUCUCACUGAGUCGCAUGGCUCGGUGAGAAAAUGGAUUCCGCUCCGGGAGAGCCUCGCGGCCUAUCAGCUAGUUGGUGAGGGUAACGGCCCACCAAGGCAUCGACGGGUAGCUGGUCUGAGAGGACGAUCAGCCACACUGGGACUGAGACACGGCCCAGACUCCUACGGGAGGCAGCAGUGGGGAAUCUUGCGCAAUGGGCGAAAGCCUGACGCAGCAACGCCGCGUGCGGAUGAAGGCCUCGGUGUAAACCGCUUUCAGUGGGACGAACCGAAGACGGUACCCACAGAAGAAGGUCCGGCCAACUACGUGCCAGCAGCCGC